RNAcentral lists this long non-coding RNA (208 nucleotides) under Lathyrus oleraceus (garden pea). RNAcentral describes it as "Pisum sativum (pea) long non-coding RNA (PSAT_LNC016720)". The record is from RNAcentral. Lineage: Eukaryota; Viridiplantae; Streptophyta; Magnoliopsida; Fabales; Fabaceae.
UUUUUUUAAGGAAAAAUGAAGGGUAAAUUUUGGGGUAUUACAACUGCCCCUAUUCAAUCAACUGGAGACCCGGAAGGAAGAUGACAACUGCUUUCGUGCUUUCGAGGUAUCAAGGGAUUGAAUACAAUAAAAGCCCAAAAAUUUGCACUGAAGUGAAGUGAAGUAACAAUGGCUGUCAGAAUCGGCAAAGAGGUGGUCUUGAAAGAAG